Molecule: long non-coding RNA, 126 nt
Organism: Lemur catta (Ring-tailed lemur)
Lineage: Eukaryota; Metazoa; Chordata; Mammalia; Primates; Lemuridae
Exons: 3
Source: RefSeq, a predicted model, not a curated record
GAGAGGCGGGUGAAGCAGGUGCAGGAGCCGGGCGGUGUUGAUUCGGCAGUUUCACUUUGAGUUCUUUCUUUCUGCAUCAAUAAUCUCCUUAUGAUGGAGAAGUGGAAAAGAGGGGGAUAAUUCCAG